UGUUCUUCAUUCGUCUUGCUUCGUUAUUCUUCCUUUUUUUUUGCUCUCUAUUUCUCUGUUCUUAGUUUUUAGCUCAUCAGAUGAGGCACAAUUCCAAGAAUCAACCUCAGAGAACAUGGGCUGAAUUAUGUUGUUUCGGUUGCUCGUGCCUACAGCUUUUCUGGCCGAGAGUGGUCUUGCGCAAAUUGCUCAAUAUCAGCGCCUUAGAGUCGGAUUACAGUGCCGAUACCGAAGAUGAUGAGGAUGUAAAUUCUUCCGAUUCUGAAAUCGAAGCAGAAUGUCGUUUUAGGGGAAGAGAAUCGCGCUUUAAGGUAGACAACAGAGAUGAACCACUGGUUGAUGCUAAUGAUGUGCUGCCGAGGUUGAGAAGAAGAAAUUCAGAAACAUUUAGGACGCAAUAUAUAAACACAAAAGAACUCAGAAUAUGUGUUGGGACUUGGAAUGUUGGAGGAAAACUACCUCCUGAAGAUCUAGAUAUUGAUGGCUGGAUUGAUACCAAUGAGCCAGCUGAUAUCUAUGUCCUUGGUUUCCAGGAGAUUGUACCAUUGAAUGCUGGAAAUAUAUUUGGUGCUGAAGACAGUCGCCCAGUUGCAAGGUGGGAAGAUAUUAUCCGCGAAACACUGAAUAGGGUUAGACCUACUACAACUAAGAUCAAAUGCUUUAGUGAUCCACCAUCCCCAUCAAAGUUUAAGCCAUUUGACGACAUCCCAAAUUUAGAGGAGGAGAUUCUGCAGGAAAGUGAUAGUGACGUUGGUGAGGAGGUGCAUCCAUGUGAUGAAGAAUUCUAUGGCAAGGAAAAUGGUGACGAACUAGUCAGUGACACAAAUCUAAGCUUGAAGAUCCCAAUUUCAGAACUUUCUGAAAAUACCAAAUCAGGGAUACCUGUAGAACAGGAUUUACUGAGGCAAUAUUCUUCUCCAAAGAGAUUGGAUCGGUUAAAUUUCGUACGGACUGAAGACAGCACAGAGAAUGACGAGGCUGUCUUGCAACCGGACAGAAGAUUAACUAAAAUGCUUAGUGGGUCAGAAAGGAUUGGUUUGUGUUGGCCUGAACCUCCACUACACUUACUACCCCAUAUUGUUUUAGAGAGACCUAACUCAUUUAAGUCAAUAAAAUCGUUUAAAACAUCCAAGUCCUUUGGGAAAUAUAGUUCUUUUAAGUCAACCAUGAAUGAAAUGCCAUCAGGGGCUGCUUUGCUUGGAGAAAUUGAUCUCGAGUCUCUCCUAAAACGAAAGAGAAGAUCGUCAUAUGUUAGAAUAGUAAGUAAGCAAAUGGUUGGUAUUUUCCUCACAAUAUGGGUUCGUAAGAGUUUGCGAAGGCACAUUCAGAAUGUAAAUGUAUCUACUGUUGGUGUUGGUGUAAUGGGCUACAUCGGCAACAAGGGAUCCAUAUCUGUCAGCAUGUCCAUAUAUCAGACCCUAUUUUGCUUUAUAUGCACUCACCUGACUUCAGGUGAAAAGGAGGGGGAUGAACUUAAAAGAAAUGCUGAUGUGAGCGAAAUACAUAGAAGAACUUCAUUCCAUCCACUUAAUGGUAUUGGGUUUCCUAAAGUGAUCCACGACCAUGAGCGGAUAAUCUGGCUGGGUGAUUUAAAUUACCGCAUCAACUUGUCUUACGAGAAGACAAGAGAGCUUAUCUCGAGAAAAGAAUGGUCUAGGUUGGCUGAGAGUGAUCAGUUAUUGCGGGAGCUUAAGAAGGGUCGUACAUUUGAUGGAUGGACUGAGGGAAACCUAAAUUUUCCACCAACCUAUAAAUACGAGAAUAAUUCAGAAAAGUAUUGUGGCGAAGAUCCAAAAGUUGGAAGACGUACUCCAGCAUGGUGUGACCGUAUACUUUCAUAUGGCAAAGGAUUGAAAUUGUGCAGAUAUAGGAGGACUGAAAUUAACUUUUCUGAUCAUAGACCAGUGACAGCCACCUAUGUGGCCGAGGUCGAGGUUUUCUGUCCCCGUAAGCUACAGCGAGCUCUGACAUUUACAGAUGCAGAGAUCGAAAAACAAGUAGCAAUCGAUGUAUACUGAUUUUUUAUCAGUUGCUUAGAUUGAGAGAAUUUACUUGAUCAUUCAUGUGCCUCAAAAAAGAUAAUUUGGUGUAGCUUCCCGGUGCAACGAACAUUGCAAGACUGGAAGUAUUUUCCAAAGGGUAAGAUCUAUUUCUUGAUUUGAGCAAUGAAGAUGCGAAGAUUGCAUUUAUAUUCAUGGAUAUGUAAGCUUUUGAAGGACUUGGAAUCCAACGCCAAGAAUGGUGCAGGUGGAAGAGCAUCAAGCCUUCCAACACAAUUCUUAUAAACCUUCAUAGGAUUAGGCUCAAAGACUUCAAACUCAGGAAAACGAAACCAACCAGCAAAAGCUCGAGCACACCUCUUCCCCAUGACUUUCACGAAGACGCAACAAUUUAGGUCCAAUUCUUUCUUACUUAUAUUGAAGUAGUAAUUGUAAAGUUCCACUUGACAUUUUGCACUCUUCAUCAGAUCCAAACAAGGUCGUAGAUUUAUUCCUCUAUCUUCGUCUACCCAUCUAUCCCAUAUAGGUGAAUUGUAGUCGUCGUCUGCCGUUGAAGGUUGAGCUAAGAAUGCCAAGUUUAUUGCCAAUAAGAGAAUCACCAUUGCUCCCA
Molecule: RNA transcript, 2610 nt
Organism: Cucurbita moschata (crookneck pumpkin)
Lineage: Eukaryota; Viridiplantae; Streptophyta; Magnoliopsida; Cucurbitales; Cucurbitaceae
Gene name: type IV inositol polyphosphate 5-phosphatase 3-like
Exons: 12
Source: RefSeq, a predicted model, not a curated record